GAUGAACGCUGGCGGCGUGCCUAAUACAUGCAAGUCGAGCGAACAGAUAAGGAGCUUGCUCCUUUGACGUUAGCGGCGGACGGGUGAGUAACACGUGGAUAACCUACCUAUAAGACUGGGAUAACUUCGGGAAACCGGAGCUAAUACCGGAUAACAUAUUGAACCGCAUGGUUCAAUAGUGAAAGGCGGCUUUGCUGUCACUUAUAGAUGGAUCCGCGCCGUAUUAGCUAGUUGGUAAGGUAACGGCUUACCAAGGCAACGAUACGUAGCCGACCUGAGAGGGUGAUCGGCCACACUGGAACUGAGACACGGUCCAGACUCCUACGGGAGGCAGCAGUAGGGAAUCUUCCGCAAUGGGCGAAAGCCUGAUGGAGCAACGCCGCGUGAGUGAUGAAGGUCUUCGGAUCGUAAAACUCUGUUAUCAGGGAAGAACAAAUGUGUAAGUAACUGUGCACAUCCUGACGGUACCUGAUCAGAAAGCCACGGCUAACUACGUG
Molecule: ribosomal RNA, 497 nt
Filed under: uncultured bacterium
Lineage: Bacteria
Description: partial 16S ribosomal RNA
Rfam family: Bacterial small subunit ribosomal RNA
Source: RNAcentral